Molecule: ribosomal RNA, 505 nt
Filed under: uncultured soil bacterium
Lineage: Bacteria
Description: bacterial SSU rRNA
Rfam family: Bacterial small subunit ribosomal RNA
Source: RNAcentral
AGAUUGAACGCUGGCGGCAGGCCUAACACAUGCAAGUCGAGCGGUAGAGAGGUGCUUGCAUCUCUUGAGAGCGGCGGACGGGUGAGUAAUGCCUAGGAAUCUGCCUAGUGGUGGGGGAUAACGUUCGGAAACGGACGCUAAUACCGCAUACGUCCUACGGGAGAAAGCGGGGGACCUUCGGGCCUCGCGCCAUUAGAUGAGCCUAGGUCGGAUUAGCUAGUUGGUGAGGUAAUGGCUCACCAAGGCGACGAUCCGUAACUGGUCUGAGAGGAUGAUCAGUCACACUGGAACUGAGACACGGUCCAGACUCCUACGGGAGGCAGCAGUGGGGAAUAUUGGACAAUGGGCGAAAGCCUGAUCCAGCCAUGCGCGUGUGUGAAGAAGGUCUUCGGAUUGUAAAGCACUUUAAGUGGAGGAAGGUUGUAAACCUAAGUACGUUGACGUAACGUUUGACGUUACCGACAGAAUAACGCAACCGGCUAAACUUCGUGCCAGCUAGCCGUAA